This is a long non-coding RNA of Phyllostomus discolor (pale spear-nosed bat), 1408 nucleotides long. RefSeq lists it as uncharacterized. The transcript has 2 exons. The record is from RefSeq and is a predicted model, not a curated record. Lineage: Eukaryota; Metazoa; Chordata; Mammalia; Chiroptera; Phyllostomidae.
UCCUUAUGUGGUUAUUGGUAUUUUUCUUAGAGACAGAAAUGUUAUGAACGUAUUGGAACACCUAGAAAAUAAAGCAUUACCUACCACACUAACAUUUAUCUACAUACCUUAAUAUUUAUGAUGGGAAACAAAUUAAAUUAUGGUGAUUUUAGGGGGUUUUGUUGUUUGGGCCCCUCUUAGGAAAUGCAUCACUCAAAUUGUAUUGAAGUUACUGUUUAUAAGGACAGAUAUUUAUUUGCUUAAGCAAAAGUUGCAUUUUUUAGUACUGGUUCACUAACUCAAGUGUAUAUAGUAAGUAUAUCAGAAGUUAACUACCACAUGAUGUGUAUUCCAAAAAGAACACUUUACCAAAACCUGAUCUCCUUUCUAAUCGACCCGGCACACUUGUGGACUCUGUCCUCACUCUGGCUCUCUGCGCUCUCUGCCCGGUCACCCACGCCACUGACUAAUGUCAGCGCUGGCUGUCUCUCAACCAGUUACAAGACAGGAAACAUCACAUAGACAUACACGAUCAGCCAAAAUGACCAGAACAUGUUUGAGAGUUUAAUAUCGAUAUACAGGUCAUUUAAUACUGACCCCGAAUUAUUGCAUGGGAUUAUAUAUGUUGGUGCACUUAGGUUGCAUGCACUGAUUUAGAUUGAUUUAGGAGUAUGUUUUGUGGCAGAACUCUGCUAAGUUGUAUACUUUUAAUUGGGAACGCAGACUCAGCAUUUUUAUGAUUCCUUAGAAAUUUUUUUAUGAUAAAAGCUUGAAUUUCUUAGAGGAAGUAUGUCCUUUGGAUUUCUCGUUUGUAUUUUACUUUUCUUUUUGUCUUUCUUAUCUUGUUAUAUUGUUUUCCUCAUCUAGUGCUCAAUUUUUUUUUGACUCUUGAUUUCCUAGUUAAUACACAUUUUUGGAAGUAAGACUACAAAUCCUUAAAAUUGAGAUAAGAUUGCUUUGUAUAUGAAGUGCUAGAAAGAGUCAUUGAGAUUGAAGACUUGAAUACUAUGAGGGGGACCCCCGAAAAUGGAAUUUAUUUAUAAAAAGUUGUGUAUUUAUCCUUAGAUGUUUGAACUCCAGUCACCUUCAAAGUACUCUCCAUUUGAUCCAACACACCUGUCGAGAUGUUCUUUCUGCUGCUCAAAACAGUUUUUGAACGCAUCGAUUUUGAUGCCUUUUAACGCUUCAGCAGUUUUUUUUGUUUCGCCUUUUCCACAUGGACAAAAUAUUUCCCUUUGAGGACUUUUUUCAUUCAGGGAAACAAAAGAAAGUCACUGGGGCGAGAUGGGGCAAAUAGGGAGGGUGGGGCACAGGGUUGAUGCAGAUUUUGGUCAAAAACUGCUGAACACGCAGCGUGAUGUGGGCAGGUACACUUGUAAAUCACCCAUCAUGAAAUGGGCAAAUGCAUUGAAAGAGUCUUCAAAAAAAA